GCGCCUGCUAGCUCAGUGGAUAGAGCGUCUGUUUCCUAAGCAGAAGUCGUAGGUUCGACCCCUACCUGGCGCG
RNAcentral lists this transfer RNA (73 nucleotides) under Asparagus officinalis (garden asparagus). RNAcentral describes it as "tRNA A4U43_Arg411". It matches the Rfam family "tRNA". From Rfam's summary of the family: Transfer RNA (tRNA) molecules are approximately 80 nucleotides in length. Their secondary structure includes four short double-helical elements and three loops (D, anti-codon, and T loops). Lineage: Eukaryota; Viridiplantae; Streptophyta; Magnoliopsida; Asparagales; Asparagaceae. The record is from RNAcentral.